GAUGAAGAACGCAGCGAAAUGCGAUAAGUAAUGUGAAUUGCAGAAUUCAGUGAAUCAUCGAAUCUUUGAACGCACCUUGCGCCCUUUGGCCAUUCCGAAGGGCAUGCCUGUUUUAGUAUCAUGAACACCUCAACUCUUCAUGGUUUUCCGUGAUGAGCUUGGACUUUGGGGGUCUUGCUGGCCUAUGGUCAGCUCCUCUAAAAUAAAUCAGCUUGCCAGUGUUUGGUGGGUAUCACAGGUGUGAUAACUAUCUACGCUUGUGGUUUUCCACCAGGUAACCUUCAGCAGUGGAGGUUCGCUGGAGCUCACAGAUGUGUCUCUCCUCAGUGAGGACAGCUCUUUGAAUGUUUGAUCUCAAAUCAGGUAGGACUACCCGCUGAACUUAAGCAUAUCAAUAAGCGGAGGA
RNAcentral lists this unclassified non-coding RNA (406 nucleotides) under soil metagenome. Its description in RNAcentral is "partial contains 5.8S ribosomal RNA, internal transcribed spacer 2, and large subunit ribosomal RNA". The stretch from base 1 to 121 matches the Rfam family "5.8S ribosomal RNA", at positions 35 to 154 of the family's 154-position model. The record is from RNAcentral.